UCCUGGAUGGAGGUUUUAACAUUAGAAUGA
This 30-nucleotide non-coding RNA is filed under the name Mus musculus (house mouse). The record is from RNAcentral. Lineage: Eukaryota; Metazoa; Chordata; Mammalia; Rodentia; Muridae.